This 726-nucleotide long non-coding RNA is filed under the name Capsella rubella. RNAcentral's name for it is "long non-coding RNA (CRUB_LNC002791)". Lineage: Eukaryota; Viridiplantae; Streptophyta; Magnoliopsida; Brassicales; Brassicaceae. The record is from RNAcentral.
UUCACAACAUCUUUCUUUAUUCACAUAUAUAAUCUUUUUCUUUUCAAGCCUUGCUACACAACAUUUCUCAGUUAUCCCACAAUCUAAAAGGAAAGGUUCGUUUUGUUUCAGAUAUAUUUGCGUGUUCCUUAAAGAUCUGAACUGUGGCAUAUACUCUUCAUAUAUCUCACUUGUUCCCUACAUUUUCCAAGGGUUUAAGCUAGCGCAAGUGUCAUUAUCAUAUCAUAUCAUAUCAUAUCAUGGGAUAAAUAUGUGAAUCCAUAAUGUCGAAGAGAUCUUAGCGUAUGCAGUUAGAAGAAUCCGAUCACAAGAAACACUCCGAGUUUUUAUGAUACAGGACACCAACUAUAUAUAUGAAAAAACAAAAUUAGUUAAAAACUACAAGGUUCUUCUGAUCUUUAAGCAAAAAUCUUAAAUAUGUGAUGCUAUAACAACGUAACUAAAAAUAUCAAGAAAAACAAAUUCCUACAAGUCAAGUUCUGAUGCACGUAAUAAAAAUCAAAACAAAAUUCUUGAUAAUUUGCUAGAUUCAUGAUGAUUAUCUUAAGUAUUAUCAUUAAUCUGAACACUGUGGAUUCAGGCUCAUAUCGAGACAGCAACAUUCGAUUAAACCAAAGAGAUAAACAGAUACAAUCUUAUAAUCCUGAAUCAAUCAAGAGGCAUGAGCUCAAAACUAACCUAAAUCGGAUGUCAGAAAGAGGAACCCAUGUUCGACCGUUUCGCUUG